Molecule: ribosomal RNA, 421 nt
Filed under: uncultured bacterium
Lineage: Bacteria
Description: bacterial SSU rRNA
Rfam family: Bacterial small subunit ribosomal RNA
Source: RNAcentral
GAGGAAUAUUGGGCAAUGCCCGCAAGGGUGACCCAGCAACGCCGCGUGGAGGAUGAAUGUCGUAAGAUUGUAAACUCCUGUUAGAGGGGAAGAAUAGUACCGGUUGGACCGGUAUAUGACUGUACCCUCAGAGAAAGCCCCGGCUAACUACGUGCCAGCAGCCGCGGUAAUACGUAGGGGGCAAGCGUUGUCCGGAUUUACUGGGUGUAAAGGGCGCGCAGGCGGGAUAAAAAGUCAGUGGUGAAAUCCUACAGCUUAACUGUAGAACUGCCUUUGAUACUUUUAUUCUUGAGUUCGGGAGAGAGAGACGGAAUUCCAGGUGUAGUGGUGAAAUACGUAGAUAUCUGGAAGAACACCAGUUGUGAAGGCGGUCUCUUGGUCCGACACUGACGCUGAGGCGCGAAAGCGUGGGGAGCAAACA